Molecule: long non-coding RNA, 639 nt
Filed under: Phaseolus vulgaris (common bean)
Lineage: Eukaryota; Viridiplantae; Streptophyta; Magnoliopsida; Fabales; Fabaceae
Description: long non-coding RNA (PVUL_LNC005301)
Source: RNAcentral
AACUAUUAGCCACCCUUAUACUUCUAAUGGACGACAAACAAAGUAUUAUAUGUAUAAAAAUUAUAUAUUACAUGGUAAUGUUACUCUAUCACUCUAAUUAUACGCAAGUAUAAAAAUGUGAUAAUUCUUUAGUCUCAAGGAUACACAAUCUAAUAAAGAUUGUCCUACGAUCACUCCUACAAUAGUAGGAAAACAUGAAUUUUUGCUAUAGACUAAAUCUAGUCUAAAGAGCCGAUGACAAACAUGCUUCUCUAGAAUUCUCCAUCAAUCAUGUGACUAGUUGAGUUUUUUGAUGAAUAGCUACUCUUUCACUAUCUCACUAAAUCAUGUCAUGGUCCAUUCUAUGUCUAAAGCUUCAAAUAAGACUAUUUAUCUCAAGUGCAGGAACAAUGUGACGAGAAAAUCAUUUUAAAUUUGACUGUCUGGUGCUUAGCACUUUACAUGUAAUCAGAUCUGGUUUUGUGCAUAUUACAUUUAAUUACAUGGUUACUUUCUUCAAUAUCAUUUUGAUAUUUAGAUGGAACAUGUUUUCACUAUUCACCUUUCUAAUGAGAAUAUUAGUCUUUAUGGACAUACUAAGUUUUUUUUUCUUUCUCUCUCUUUUUUAACUUUCCAAUCUUACACACUUUCUGUACCGAG